Non-coding RNA from Termitomyces sp. Mi166#008, 100 nucleotides. NCBI's taxonomy places the organism in Eukaryota, Fungi, Basidiomycota, Agaricomycetes, Agaricales, Lyophyllaceae. The record is from the annotation of a GenBank genome assembly.
GGCGCUAUAGCCAAGUGGUUACGGCGACAGAUUCGAACACCUAAUAAUUGCAAGUAUCUGUUCCUCUUUGAGGGCGUAGGUUCAAAUCCUGCUGGCGUCG